Molecule: ribosomal RNA, 468 nt
Filed under: uncultured bacterium
Lineage: Bacteria
Description: partial 16S ribosomal RNA
Rfam family: Bacterial small subunit ribosomal RNA
Source: RNAcentral
GACGAACGCUGGCGGCGUGCUUAACACAUGCAAGUCGAACGGAAAGGCCCUACUUUUGUGGGGUGCUCGAGUGGCGAACGGGUGAGUAACACGUGAGUAACCUGCCCUUGACUUUGGGAUAACUUCAGGAAACUGGGGCUAAUACCGGAUAGGAGCUCCUGCUGCAUGGUGGGGGUUGGAAAGUUUCGGCGGUUGGGGAUGGACUCGCGGCUUAUCAGCUUGUUGGUGGGGUAGUGGCUUACCAAGGCUUUGACGGGUAGCCGGCCUGAGAGGGUGACCGGCCACAUUGGGACUGAGAUACGGCCCAGACUCCUACGGGAGGCAGCAGUGGGGAAUAUUGCACAAUGGGCGGAAGCCUGAUGCAGCAACGCCGCAUGCGGGAUGACGGCCUUCGGGUUGUAAACCGCUUUCGCCUGUGACGAAGCGUGAGUGACGGUAAUGGGUAAAGAAGCACCGGCUAACUACGUG